Phlebotomus papatasi is the source of this 47-nucleotide non-coding RNA. Lineage: Eukaryota; Metazoa; Arthropoda; Insecta; Diptera; Psychodidae. The record is from Rfam.
AAAAUGGCCCUUUUUAGGGCCAUAACAAUUAUUCCGUAAAGAGUUAU